RNAcentral lists this long non-coding RNA (311 nucleotides) under Penaeus japonicus. RNAcentral's name for it is "uncharacterized LOC122261211". The record is from RNAcentral. Lineage: Eukaryota; Metazoa; Arthropoda; Malacostraca; Decapoda; Penaeidae.
AGGCUGUACGGUUCCUCCGGGUGGAACAAGCAUUUUUAUACCUGUUCACACUACGGACAAUGGAAGUGAUGUUACAACUGUCCCAGAAACGGCUGUUCCAGUUACCACUGUUGAAACUAUAGAAGGGGGAGGUGAUGUCACGAAUGCCCCAGAAACGGCUGUUCCAGUUACCACUGUUGAAACUAUAGAAGGGGGAGGUGAUGUCACGAACGCCCCAGAAACAGCUGUUCCAGUUACCACUGUUGAAACUAUAGAAGGAGGAGGUGAUGUCACGAAUGCCCCAGAAACGGCUGUUCCAGUUACCACAAACU